UACGAAGGGGGCUAGCGUUGUUCGGAAUUACUGGGCGUAAAGCGCACGUAGGCGGACUAUUAAGUCAGGGGUGAAAUCCCGGGGCUCAACCCCGGAACUGCCUUUGAUACUGGUAGUCUCGAGUCCGGAAGAGGUGAGUGGAAUUCCGAGUGUAGAGGUGAAAUUCGUAGAUAUUGGGAAGAACACCGGUGGCGAAGGCGGCCAUCUGGACCGCAACUGACGCUGAGGCGCGAAAGCGUGGGGAGCAAACAGG
This 253-nucleotide ribosomal RNA is filed under the name uncultured bacterium. Its description in RNAcentral is "partial 16S ribosomal RNA". It matches the Rfam family "Bacterial small subunit ribosomal RNA", at positions 524 to 776 of the family's 1533-position model. The record is from RNAcentral.